This 723-nucleotide long non-coding RNA is filed under the name Anser brachyrhynchus (Pink-footed goose). Its description in RNAcentral is "lncRNA (ENSABRG00000006251.1)". The record is from RNAcentral. Lineage: Eukaryota; Metazoa; Chordata; Aves; Anseriformes; Anatidae.
UAUCUCAGUUAUCCCAAUGACAUCAUAGUUUGGUGGAACUCUGGUUCCUCCUACCUCUUUCCCAGGCUGCAGAUUGAAGUGGGCAUCCUUUUGCCCUGUUUUACCACUCCUGAGAUCUCCCCUGUCACUGUCACCCAGCACUCCUUGCCUUCCAGACCUGACCACCACUACCUCGCCUUACACAGUCACCCAUGGGCGCUAAUUGGUAGCAGGACCUACCGUGCUGGGCAUGCUCAUACAGGGGAAAACCUCCUUGAAACCGUGUUUUCAUACUGUAGUUGGACCAGCUCAGGCCUGCUCUGCUCCAAGUACAUUUUAACAAGAAGAACCUGGAAAGUGUCACAGAGUAGCACGUUGCUUCAGAAAUAUCCUUUAUUGGAAGUAGUAGCUGAAAAGAAGACUCACCUGGCAGCUGGAGUUAUGAGAAGGGGGCUAGAAGAUUGGUCCAUUUCUAAGAUAAGGCACAAAACAAUUUCAUCUCUUAACCUUCCUUCCCCUUCCUUUUCUUUCAAUGAAAAAUAAUGAAGAAUAGAGGGGAUUAAUAACAUUUUCAUUUUAUUGCUCUUGGAACCAGAGAGAAGAAAAUGAGCACUGAAAUUUCAUACUUUCUAUGCUUUACUAUAUUUGCUCUCUGGUUUUCAAGCAGGAUUUAGUGCACACAAUCUCUGUCAUAAUUCAUGGGACAGGAAUAAAUGCAGCUGGCAAGCAAUGAGAAGGCCUGUG